Girardinichthys multiradiatus is the source of this 211-nucleotide long non-coding RNA. RefSeq lists it as uncharacterized. The record is from RefSeq and is a predicted model, not a curated record. NCBI's taxonomy places the organism in Eukaryota, Metazoa, Chordata, Actinopteri, Cyprinodontiformes, Goodeidae. The transcript is spliced from 3 exons.
UCUGUGGACGUUUCUUCAAACUUCGCCGCUCUGGACAGCUUUUCCUCACCACAGUUCAUGAGGUUGAUUCAGUUACCACUAAUUGUAACUGGGAAUAGUACUGAUUGCUUGGGAUAUCCUGUACCUGACCAGGACUUUUUCCCCCUGAACGGAUGCCACCUUAAGAAAGCCCAGGGGACGGCCCAGGACACACUGGAGGGACUAUGUCUCU